AGCAAUGAGAGUGCAGGCACAGGUGCGGCCGGUUUCCUUGUCGCUGUCCCGCGCUGAGUGAGUUUUGCCUCGAAGCUGGUCCGAAGUCGCGCCUGCUCUUUUGUGUGCCCAAGGCAGAUUUCCAGAAGUAGAAAUCUGUCUUCUAACUCUAAGGCCUUGGGAGAUGAAGGAUCCGUGAUUCAAAGGCAGAAAUGAGGAAUUCCUAAAGCUGUACCUAUUCUGUGGGACUUUACCUCUACCUGGUCUCAGUUUAUUGGAUUAAGGUUGAACACCUAAACCAAAGAGACCCAAUUAAUAAGCUGAAGUAAAGAGCAUCAUGUUCUCUUUGGACACUGGACAAAUGGAUGUUGAUGAGCUUGUGUGCAGCAGUUCUACUGGAAAGACGGGAUUUCACUAUGUUGGACAAGCUGGUCUCCAACUCCUGACCUCUGGUGAUCUGCCCACCUCGGCCUCCCGAAGUGCUGAGAUUACAAGGGUGAGCUACCAUGCCCAGCCAGUCGUGUGUAUAUUUUACAAUAUGAUGUAUGAAUGGUAAGUGUGACCUCAGCUUUCAGAAAGGUAAAGUAAGGGCCUCUGAAAAUCUACUCCUCCAUAAAAGCAACAAGAACACUGGGAAAUUGUCAAAAUUAACUUUUUCAGAAUGCUGGAAACCAACUAAAAGCUUAUAACAAUCCAAGAAGUAGUUAUUUAAGACAAAUGGCUGAAUCUCAUAACAAUGAGACUUGAGGUGUUUUAACUCUUCCUAAUCCCUUCUCUCUCUCUCUAGCUUUACAGUAGCUUUAAAAACCAACAGCUUCACAACUAUGGUAGCUGUGAAACCCACCAGCCCACUGUCAUUUUUAGAAGGCAGAACAGGUUAAGAGGUCCUCAAAAGCCUCAUCCCUAGGGUAUUUUUAGUAUUCAGCCUGUCUGGCACCUUACUGAAAAGCUCCGUUCUCAGGGCUUGUAUUUAUUUGACAUGACUCAGAGCUCACUUUGUGCAAACAGCUCCGCCAGCAGGGAAUUUGACAAAGACAAUGAGCAGCAGUUGUUUAAUAUUGCAGCUGCCUAAGGCAGUAUUGCCAUUUAGGGCUAGCAAAAUGCUGACCUAAACACUUAAAUGGAAAAACUGAGUAUAUUAGUCAGGAUUCUCCAGAGAAGCAGAACCAAUAAGAUGAAUGGAUGGGUGGAAAGAUGGAUAGAUAGAUAGAUAGAUAGAUAGAUAGAUAGAUAGAUAGAUGAUACAUACAUACACACGUAUACAUACAUAUGUCACAGGAUCCUUAGGGUGUUGCUUCACCAGCCAGAAACCUCUGUGGCUAGUGGCACCUUCUGCCUGAAUAUUGCUUGCACCUGCUGGAUUCAUUCUGCCCACUCGGCCUGGCAAGCUGUGCUCAGCUCGGGCUACCGGCCCGGAUCCCACACCUGCCAACAGCAAACCAGGUUCAGAGUGGUGAGGAGUGUGUGGGCCAGUGAGCGUGGGGUCCGGCCACUGUGCACAGCCAGGCAGGCUGGCUACUGUGGCAAGGCAGGCAGCUGCAGGCGCCAGCACAGGUGCUGGCUCCAUGCGAGGCUGUGGCCGGUCCAAAUGUACUGUGUGCAGAUUCUGUUACAGACACCCACAUCUGAAUGAGGGGAACGCAGUGGCACCCGGAAGCUUGGAGACACCAGGAACCACAGAGCCCUAAAGAGGGUGUCACAGCCCUGGCUGGGGAGCCCCUAGGUCUGGGCUUCCUGAAGGGCCACACCUCUUCUCUCCUUCUUGUCGUCCAUAACAUGGCAAGCAGGGGGGCAUGUUUCAUCCCUGUUUGUGUUAUAGCUCUUUCAGUCCUGCCAUUUGUUGGGUCUUGAGCUCUUAUCCUGCAUCCAGGAAGAAUGAGGUAUGCAAGCAAGCAAGGUGGAGAGGGCAAGCAAGGUGGAGAGGAGCUUCAUUGAGUGACAGAACAUCUCUCAGGAGACCUGAAGUGGGUAGCUCCUUUCUGCAGAAAUCAACAAGAUAAUUCUAAAAUUCAUAUGGAAACACAAAGAGGCCAGGCGUGGUGGCUCACGCCUGUAAUACCAGUACUCUGGGAGGUCGAGGCUAGUGGAUCACUUGAGAUCAGGAAUUCGAGACCAGCCUGCCAACAUGGUGAAACACCGUCUCUACUAAAAAUACAAAGAUUAGCCAGGAGUGGUGGCAUGCGCCUGUAGUUCCAGCUACUGGGGAGGCUGAGGCAGGAGAAUCACUUGAACCUGGGAGGCGGAGGUUGCAGUGAGCUGAGAUUACACCACUGCACUCCAGCCUGGGUGAUAGAGCGAAACUCAGUCUAAAAGAAAUGCCAGGAACUCAGAAUAGUCAAAACAUUUUGAAAGAAAAAGGCAAAGUUGAAAAAUUUUAAACUUCCAUAUUUUAAAACUUACUACAAAGUUAAUAUGUAGUACUAACAUAAGAAUGCCAGUAUAGAUCAACAGAAUAGAAUUGAAAGGCCAGAAAUAAAUUCUUGUAGUUAUGAUAAAUUGAUUUUCAAGAAGAGUGUCAAGAUCAUUUAAUGAGAGGGAAUAUUUUAUUUUUCAACAAAUUAUGUUAAUAUAACUGGAUAGCCACAUGCAAAAGCAUGAAUUGAGAUCCCUGUCUCACAUCAUAUACAAAAAUUAACUCAAAUGGGAACUAAAUAUAAGAGGAAAAACUGCAAAACUCUUAGAAGAAAAAAUAUGCUUAAAUCUUUGUGACUUUGGAUUGGGCAGUGGCUUCCUAGACACCAAAAGCACAAGCAACAACAACAACAAAAAAAUAGAUAAUUUGGACUUCAUAAAAAUGAAAAACUUUUGUUCUUCUAAGGAUACCAUCAAGAAAGUGAAAAGACAGCCCAUAGAAUCACAGGAAAUAUUUGAAGAUCAUAUAUUGGAAAAGGAGCUUGUGUCCAGAAUAUGUAAAAACACCAAUAACCCAAUUUAAAAAUGGGUAAAGAAUCUUAACAGACAUUUCUCCCCAGAAGACAGACAAAUGGCCAAUAAGCACAUGAAAGAUGCUCAGCUCCAUUAGUCAUCUGAGACUAAAUAAAAAAAUAAAUCAGAACUACAAGAUACCACUUCACACCCACUAGGGUCACUGUAAUUUUAAAAAUAUAUAAUAACAAGUGUUGGCGGGAUGUGGAGAAUUUGGAAUGCCCAUACAUUACUCAUGGGAUUGUAAAAUGAUGCAGCCACUUUGGAAAACAGUUCAGCAGUUCCUCAAAAUGUUUUUUUUUAAAAAAAGGAAUUAUCAUCUGGUCCAGCAAUUCCACACCUAGAUAUAUAUACAAGGCAAUUGAAAAUAUGUUCACACGAAAAUAUGGGCACAGAUGUUUGCAACACUGUUACUCAUAAUAGCCAGAAAGUGAAAACAACUCAAAUGUUUAUCAAUUAAUGACUGGAUAAACAAAAUGUAGUAUAUUCCAUAUAAUGGUAAUGUUCCAUAACAUGGAACAUUAGUCAUUACUGAAUCAUAAAAAGAAAUGAGAUUCUGAUACAUGUUAUAAUGUGAAUGAACCUUUAAAACAUUAUGCUAAGUCUAAGAAGUCAGACACAAAAGACCACAACUUAUGUGUUUUCAUUCAUAUGAAAUCCCCAGAAUAGACAAAUCCAAAGAGAUGGAAAGUAGAAUAUUGUUUGCCAGGGAUUGGGGGUGGUAAGGAGGCAAUGAGAAUUGGCUACUUAUAUGUAUGCUUUUUUUUUUUUUUUUGAGUGAUAAAAACAUUCUGGAAUUAGAUGGUGGUGAUAAAUGCACAACUUUGUGAGUAUACUAAAAACCACUGAAUUGUAUAUUGUAAAGGGGUAAACCUUAUGGUAUACAAAUUAUAUUUACUAUAGCUGUUUUUAUUUUUUAGAGAUGGGAUCUCACUGUCACCCAGGCUGGAGUGCAGUAAUGUGAUCUGAGCUCACUGCAAACUUCGCCUCCUAGGCUCAAUUGAUCCUCCUGCCUUAGCCUCUAAGUAGCUGGGAUUACAGGUGUGUGCCACCACGCCCAACUAAUUUUUGUAUUUUUUGUAGAUACGGAGUUUUGUAAUGUUGCCCAAGCUGAUCUCACACUCCUAAGUUCAAGUGAUCCACCCGCCUUGGCCUCCCAAAGUGCUGGGAUUACAGGCGUGAGUCACUGUGCCUGGCAUAUUUUUAAAAAUUAUAAAUGCAACUUUUUCUUCAUUUUUGAGGGGAAAUGCAUGAAAUAGAAUUUAUCAGAAUUACUAUGUUUUUAUAACAGUACUACCAACAGUGAGUUUGUCUGUGUAUGAAGUUUCAUAUUUUAUGCAUCCUGGCAUAUUGGACCAUGUCUUAACAAUAUAAUGCAUCAUGUCCUGAUAAAGUCUUGCGAUCCCAGAAGCACAUGUGACUGAGAAUGAAUUAGUAUCUAGGAUAUAUAAAAAAUGCUUACAAGUCCAUAAGAAAAACAUCUUUAAAAAAGGACAAAAUAAAUAAUUAGAAAAUGUACUCAAAAGGAAAUUGGAAUGACCAAUAAACAUAUAAAAAUGUGUUCAACAUCACUAGUAACCUGAGAAGUGCAUGUUAAAUCCAAAAUGAGAUAGGCUGAGGUGGGCAGAUCACUUGAGGUCAGGAGUUCGAGACCAGCCCAGUCAACAUGGUAAAACCCUGUCUCUAUGAGAAAUACAAAAAAAAAUUAGCUGAGUGUGGUGAUGGGUGACUAAUCCCAGCUACUCGGGAGGCUGAGGCACAAGAAUCACUUGAACCUGGGAGCAGAGGUUGCAGUGAGCUAAGAUCGCGCCACUGCACUCCAGCCUGGGCAACAGAGCGAGACCUCAACUCAAAAUAAAUAUAAAAAAACAAAAUGAGAUAGGUUUUGGCAUCCAUCCAUCCAUCUGAUUGACCAAAAUUCUACAGGGAUACAAUACCAAAUAUUACUAAGGAUAUUUAGCAUUUAUCCAUUGCUGGCAAUAUUAUAAUUUGGUACAGUCACUUUGGACAACAAUUUGACGAAAUCUAGUAAAGCUGACAAUGCAUACUCCCUAAGCAAUUUCACACCUAGACUGGGCAUACCUACAAGGAGAGAUAUAUGGGAAUAGCACAUUCAUGGCAGUAUUUUUUGGUAGUAAACAAUCUAAAUGUCCACUUAUAGGAAAAUAAUAAAGAAGGCACACUGUACCAUAAUUAUAUUGCAGUAAAAAAUGAGUUAGAGCCACAGGAAUAAACAUAGAUUCAGUAACAUAAUAUAGAGGAAAGAAAGUAAGAUGCAUAAAGAUGCACACAUUAUGAAGCCAUUAAAAUGGUGUUGAAGUGUAAGAAAUAGUAAACUAAUGUAUUGUUUAGAAAUUGACGCAUAGGUAGUAAAGUAUUAUUUUUUAAAAAGUAUGUGAAUGAUAAACACCAAAUUAGUAUAAUGGUUAGCCAUGUGAGGAAGGGAGAUGGGUGAAUUUUAGGAUGAGUUCACUUGAAGCUUCGACACUUUGGGUAAUGUGUGUUUUAUUUUUCUUAAGCAAGAUGCUAGGUACAUGGCUAUUAUGCAUUUUGCAUAUCUAAUCAUCUAAUUAUAUAAUAUUAAGUUUAUUUAUAUUAAAUUUAGUUUAUAUACAAAAACCAAAACAAAUGAAUGAUUAGCAAAAAAAGGGCAAUAAACAUGGAAACUAGGAAUAUCAUUCAAAGUGUUACCACUCUAAAAAUGAACAUCACCAUCCUUAUGUCACUUUAAGCUUAUGAUUCUGACAUUGUUUAUAGUCCAGAAUCUAAAUUAUCUCCCAGUUAUUUCCUUUUUAAAAAUUCAUACUUGGGAAUAUCCCAGUUUUAUCAGUCUCAAACUGCAUGGUCCAGUAGUUGCUUAUUUCUUGUCUCUUCUUUUUUCUCAGAUCACAAAUUAACAUUUUCUCCUACCUAGUAUAUAUCUGCUCCAUCAGAAACAAUCUUCCUUAUAUUUUAUAUUAUUUUAUUGUUCAUAGGAUAUUUGCAUAUUUAUUAUUUCUUGUGAUAUUUUACAUGUAUUUCUCUUUUUAAGGAUGGGAAUAUAAUCAUAGAAAGGCUAAGCCAUUUUUCCAAAGUCACUUUGCAUGCGGUUGAAGCAUGAUUAAAUUUCAGGUUCUAAUUUUUAGUCCACUGGGACAUUAACUACCCUUUUCUCCACCAAGUGUCACAGCUUCAAUACUUCUGCUCAUGUCAAAAGGUGCUCCUUAUGGGGGAGGGGAUGGGGAACGUGGAUGGGCGGAAAGAGGAGCAUGUCUGCCUACUCUCACUUAACCAGCCAAAACAUUUUGCUUCUUUCCCAGACAUCCACUCCUUUUACCUCUCGAAAUAGCUCUGCCCCAAGGAAGGAGUAGCUGCUAAUCUAAUUGGUCAGAGCCUAAUAGUCAUUGGAUACCAUUUUACUAGUGGGUAGGGUCACUAUGCAUUUAAAGAACGGCACCCACACUCAUCACUCAUUAUCUAAUUCUAUGAAGUUGAAAAAUGCCCAGGCAUGGCCUGUAUCUGUUGGGCAGGUCUAUUUAUUUGAGCUUCUUCCAGCCUGCAAUUUGAUGUGUAAGUCAGGCUGAGCUCUGCCCCUCUGACACGGCCAUUUCUGUUUUAGGGGGUGCUGGCCAGGGAGGGAGGCUGUCUGCCGAGUUGCAUUCUCCAUUCUGGCUCUGCCAGAGUUCUGCCUUGAGGGGCUGUGAGUGCUUCUCUAGCUGUUCAUAAAAUGGUAUUUUCUCCCUUCUGACUCUUGCUUCUCACGUCUACGGGUGGCUUUUAUACUUGGGUACCCUGCCUGGUAGGGCAGUAGG
This is a long non-coding RNA of Pongo pygmaeus (Bornean orangutan), 6695 nucleotides long. RefSeq lists it as uncharacterized. Lineage: Eukaryota; Metazoa; Chordata; Mammalia; Primates; Hominidae. The transcript is spliced from 5 exons. The record is from RefSeq and is a predicted model, not a curated record.